UCAGUAACACGUGGGUAACCUACUCUCAGGUCAGGAAUAACUCCGGGAAACUGGAGCUAAUACCUGGCAGAUACAGAAUUCUGGAAUGAGUUUGUAUUGAAAGCUCCGGCGCCUGAGAAUGGGCUCGCGGCUGAUUAGGUUGUUGGUGGGGUAAAGGCCCACCAAGCCUGUGAUCGGUACGGGCAGUGAGAGCUGGAGCCCGGAGAUGGGGACUGAGACAAGGCCCCAGGCCCUACGGGGCGCAGCAGGUGCGAAAACUCGCCAAUGCUCGAAAGAGUGAGCGGGGAACCCCAAGUGCCCUUGUAUUGCAAGGGCUUUUCUCUGGUGUAAGGAGCCAGGGGAAUAAGGGCUGGGUAAGACUGGUGCCAGCCGCCGCGGUAACACCAGCAGCCCAAGUGGUCGCCGUUUUUAUUGGGCCUAAAGCGUCCGUAGCCGGAUAGAUAAGUCUCUAGGUAAAUCUUACGUUUAAGCGUAAGGCUUCUGGAGAUACUGUCUGUCUUGAGGCCGGGAGAGGUUGGAGGUACUCCCGGGGUAGGGGUAAAAUCCUGUAAUCCUGGGGGGACCACCGGUGGCGAAGGCGUCCAACUGGAACGGGCCUGACGGUGAGGGACGAAACCCAGGGGAGCGAGCCGGAUUAGAUACCCGGGUAGUCCUGGGCGUAAAUGAUGCGGACUAGGUGUGGGGAUAUCCACGAGAUAUCUCUGUGCCGAAGGGAAGCCAUUAAGUCCGCCGCCUGGGGAGUACGGCCGCAAGGCUGAAACUUAA
RNAcentral lists this ribosomal RNA (765 nucleotides) under uncultured archaeon. RNAcentral describes it as "bacterial SSU rRNA". It matches the Rfam family "Archaeal small subunit ribosomal RNA", at positions 90 to 859 of the family's 1478-position model. The record is from RNAcentral.